CAAGACGCCUGGUAUAGAACUCACUUUUCUUAAGCUCUCUUCUGCUACAGUAUCUGCCUCACAUUUUGAAGAGUAUAGUUCUAACAAGGUUUUUGAGACAGGGGCGCGGAACAGGGGGGCUAGGGGGCUAAAGCCACCCAGAAGUAAAGUGGGGGGGGGGGCUUAGCCCCCCCAGAAAAUUUAGUUUUUUUCUGGAAAACUUUGAUAAUUAAGGGAAAAU
Molecule: non-coding RNA, 220 nt
Organism: Paramuricea clavata
Lineage: Eukaryota; Metazoa; Cnidaria; Anthozoa; Malacalcyonacea; Plexauridae
Source: the annotation of a GenBank genome assembly